GCUAAACGCGAAGAACCUUACCCACCUUUGACAUCCCGUGCUAUCUAGAGAGAUCUAGAGUCCCUUCGGGGCGCGGAGACAGGUGCUGCAUGGCUGUCGUCAGCUCGUGUCGUGAGAUGUUGGGUUAAGUCCCGCAACGAGCGCAACCCUCGCUUCUAGUUGCCAGCAUUUAGUUGGGCACUCUAGAGGAACUGCCUGCGCCAAGCAGGAGGAAGGCGGGGAUGACGUCAAGUCAGCAUGGCCUUUAUAUCCUGGGCUACACACACGCUACAAUGGGUAGGGACAAUUGGUUGCGAAACCGCGAGGUGGAGCCAAUCCGUAAAAAACUAACCCUCAGUUCAGAUUGCAGGCUGCAAACUCGCCUGCAUGAAAGUCGGAGUUGCUAGUAAACCGCAGGUCAGCUA
This 404-nucleotide ribosomal RNA is filed under the name uncultured bacterium. RNAcentral's name for it is "bacterial SSU rRNA". It matches the Rfam family "Bacterial small subunit ribosomal RNA", at positions 954 to 1355 of the family's 1533-position model. The record is from RNAcentral.